UACGAAGGGGGGCUAGCGUUGCUCGGAAUUACUGGGCGUAAAGGGCGCGUAGGCGGAUAGUUUAGUCAGAGGUAAAAGCCCAGGGCUCAACCUUGGAACUGCCUUUGAUACUGGCUAUCUUGAGUUCGGGAGAGGUGAGUGGAAUGCCGAGUGUAGAGGUGAAAUUCGUAGAUAUUCGGCGGAACACCAGUGGCGAAGGCGACUCACUGGCCCGAUACUGACGCUGAGGCGCGAAAGCGUGGGGAGCAAACGGG
This 254-nucleotide ribosomal RNA is filed under the name uncultured bacterium. Its description in RNAcentral is "partial 16S ribosomal RNA". It matches the Rfam family "Bacterial small subunit ribosomal RNA", at positions 524 to 776 of the family's 1533-position model. The record is from RNAcentral.